RNAcentral lists this ribosomal RNA (450 nucleotides) under uncultured bacterium. Its description in RNAcentral is "partial 16S ribosomal RNA". It matches the Rfam family "Bacterial small subunit ribosomal RNA", at positions 354 to 796 of the family's 1533-position model. The record is from RNAcentral.
GUGGGGAAUAUUUGACAAUGGGCGAAAGCCUGAUCCAGCCAUGCCGCGUGUGUGAAGAAGGUCUUCGGAUUGUAAAGCACUUUAAGUUGGGAGGAAGGGCAGUAAGUUAAUACCUUGCUGUUUUGACGUUACCGACAGAAUAAGCACCGGCUAACUUCGUGCCAGCAGCCGCGGUAAUACGAAGGGUGCAAGCGUUAAUCGGAAUUACUGGGCGUAAAGCGCGCGUAGGUGGUUUUGUAAGUUGGAGGUGAAAUCCCCGGGCUCAACCUGGGAACUGCAUCCAAAACUGGCGAGCUAGAGUACGGUAGAGGGUGGUGGAAUUUCCUGUGUAGCGGUGAAAUGCGUAGAUAUAGGAAGGAACACCAGUGGCGAAGGCGACCACCUGGACUGAUACUGACACUGAGGUGCGAAAGCGUGGGGAGCAAACAGGAUUAGAAACCCGGGUAGUCC